UGUGACGAAUCAGGAGGAGCCGCGGCCACUGCAACCCGCGCCGCACGGCCGUGCACCGGUAUUCGUGACCGGUUAUGUUGGGGACACCGCUCCCUUUUUGGCUUGGCAGGGCCGCGGCGCAUUUAUGGCGAGGUCGAUAGGGGGACCCACGAGAUCGUUAUCCUGAUCCUCUAGUCCGCGCCUGAGGGGAAUAUCCGUCUCGUGGACUCGAGUGAGUCCGACCCCCGCGUCCAGGGUUAGGCGAGGCGGAGUUUCUGUGGUGGGGGUCAGGCGCUCCCGACCCCGGUUCCCUGGGUCGGGCGAGGCGGAACCUUGCAGCGAGGGGUCGGGCGCUCCCGAUCCUAGGACCGCGGUCGGGCGAGGCAGAGUCCCUCCAUCGAGGGGUCGGGAAUGUCCGACCCGGGGCCCUCGGUCGGGCUAGAUGGAGUGGGAUGUUCUCUGCCUUCACUAGGUCGGAUGUAAUCGUAAUUACCGCAGGUGGGCCUUGGCCUUCAUGACUGUCGCUCUAAGCGGUAUUAGGAGGUCGUUAAUAUUUUCCCCCAACAGUAGCCCCCGAGCCUGUGGUGGAGCAAAGGUGCUCCUCCAGAGGCUUUUUUGGUCGGGGAUCUCUGCUCGCCCUGCAAGCUGUGGUGGAUCAGGGGUAGGGAGUGUUGUU
RNAcentral lists this long non-coding RNA (655 nucleotides) under Setaria viridis. Its description in RNAcentral is "long non-coding RNA (SVIR_LNC003251)". Lineage: Eukaryota; Viridiplantae; Streptophyta; Magnoliopsida; Poales; Poaceae. The record is from RNAcentral.